Molecule: ribosomal RNA, 699 nt
Filed under: uncultured bacterium
Lineage: Bacteria
Description: bacterial SSU rRNA
Rfam family: Bacterial small subunit ribosomal RNA
Source: RNAcentral
AGGAGUUUGAUCCUGGCUCAGGACGAACGUUGGCGGUGCGCUUAAUGCAUGCAAGUCGAGGGAGAACCUUUCGAUCCGUAAGGACCGAAUGGGGAAACCGGCGAACGGGUGCGUAACACGUGAGGAACCUGCCCCGAAGACCGGGAUAGCCCGGGGAAACUCGGAUUAAUACCGGAUACCCUCCUCGGACCACAUGGUCUGUUGAGGAAAUGGUCCGCCGCUUCGGGAUGGCCUCGCGGCCUAUCAGCUUGUUGGUGAGGUAACGGCUCACCAAGGCAAAGACGGGUAGCUGGUCUGAGAGGACGAUCAGCCACACUGGGACUGAGACACGGCCCAGACUCCUACGGGAGGCAGCAGCAGGGAAUAUUGCACAAUGGGCGAAAGCCUGAUGCAGCGACACCGCGUGCGGGAUGAAGGCCCUCGGGUUGUAAACCGCUUUCAGGAGGGACGAAAAUGACGGUACCUCCAGAAGAAGGCCCGGCCAACUACGUGCCAGCAGCCGCGGUAAUACGUAGGGGCCAAACGUUGUCCGGAUUUAUUGGGCGUAAAGGGCUCGUAGGCGGUUCAACAAGUCGAUCGUGAAAGCCCGGGGCUCAACCCCGGGACGCCGGUCGAAACUGUUGUGACUAGGGUCCGGUAGAGGUGAGUGGAAUCCUCGGUGUAGCGGUGGAAUGCGCAGAUAUCGAGAGGAACACCAGU